GUAGAUAUAGUUUAAUAAACACUAGAUUGUGAUUCUAGAGUUAGAGGUUAAACCCCUCUUAUCAACC
RNAcentral lists this transfer RNA (67 nucleotides) under Xenopus andrei (Andre's clawed frog). RNAcentral's name for it is "tRNA-His". It matches the Rfam family "tRNA". Rfam says of the family: Transfer RNA (tRNA) molecules are approximately 80 nucleotides in length. Their secondary structure includes four short double-helical elements and three loops (D, anti-codon, and T loops). Further hydrogen bonds mediate the characteristic L-shaped molecular structure. tRNAs have two regions of fundamental functional importance: the anti-codon, which is responsible for specific mRNA codon recognition, and the 3' end, to which the tRNAs corresponding amino acid is attached (by aminoacyl-tRNA synthetases). tRNAs cope with the degeneracy of the genetic code in two manners: having more than one tRNA (with a specific anti-codon) for a particular amino acid; and 'wobble' base-pairing, i.e. permitting non-standard base-pairing at the 3rd anti-codon position. The record is from RNAcentral. Lineage: Eukaryota; Metazoa; Chordata; Amphibia; Anura; Pipidae.